RNAcentral lists this unclassified non-coding RNA (249 nucleotides) under Ascomycota sp. RNAcentral describes it as "partial contains small subunit ribosomal RNA, internal transcribed spacer 1, and 5.8S ribosomal RNA". The stretch from base 1 to 47 matches the Rfam family "Eukaryotic small subunit ribosomal RNA", at positions 1785 to 1831 of the family's 1831-position model. The record is from RNAcentral. Lineage: Eukaryota; Fungi; Ascomycota.
AAAGUCGUAACAAGGUUUCCGUAGGUGAACCUGCGGAAGGAUCAUUACCGAAGUCAAAGCCCUCUCGUAGGGCUCAACUUCCACCCUUUGUUUACCAUUCUAUGUUGCUUUGGCGGGCCGUCUUUCAGGCCACCGGCCCUCGGGCUGGUGAGUGCUCGCCAGAGAAAAUCAAACUCAAACCUUUUUUAGUGUUGUCUGAGAAACAAGUUUAAUUAUUUAAAACUUUCAACAACGGAUCUCUUGGCUCUG